GUGUCUCUUUGCCAAUCUCAGGGUGGAAAAUAAUGCAAUAUUUCACCAUUAAGUAAGAUGUUGGCUGUAGUGUUUUGUGUCUAUCCUUUAGUAGAAUAAGGAUGUUCCCUCUUGUUCCAUUGUCAGCCUAACCAGAAUCUUUUUAAAGCCAUCAUCAGGGAUGUACUCUCUACAAUGAGACCAUCUCUUCACUAAAUGGUAUUGGGAAAACUGGACAGCCACGUGCAAAAGAAUGUAACUCUACCACUGUCUUACACCAUGCACAAAAAAUUAACUCAGAAUGGAUUAAAGACUCCAAACUAAAAAUCCUAGAAGAAAACAAAGGUGGUAAUAAGCUCCUGACAUAGAUCUUGGUGAUGAUUGCUUAAAUCUGACAUCAAAAGCAAAAGCAACAAAAUCAAAAAUAUAGGUUCAUUUACUGUUGGGAUGCUCAAGAUCGAUCUACCAGACAGCCUGGAAUUCUCCUGUUUAGACAUCCACCUAAGCCUCUGACGUCACCUUUCGCAGUCGACGGAGGAUGGACUGCGUUUGUGAAAGAGCUGUUCUUCAGUACUGAAAAGAGACUGAGGAAUCCAUUGUGAAUGGACUUGGGCAGCUUUGUUUGUUCAGUUUAUAAACAGUUUGAAAGUUCUGAAACUUGCCCAGAACGCUUUGGCUUAGAGACAGCUGUGUAAAAUUGCAUAAAAACAAGUUUAGUUUCACAUUGUCCCUAACGGUGGCCAUGUGACAAAUAUUUUCCUUUUGAAGGUUUAAAAUAUUCGUUUGGCUGUUUAAUCCAGAUAUGCCAUCAAAUAUCCCCGUUUCCCCGCAACAGUUCAAAAAUUAUUCAUACUACAAAAAGUAUUUUCAAAAGAGUAUAAUUUUUAUCAAAGAACAAAACAUUUAAAAACAAGAACUUGUUAUUAUUUACAUUUGCAAGUGCAUUCUUGGUUUUUUUUAGGCUCUAUUUUAUACAGCAGUUUUAGAUUUACAGAAAAAAGUUGAGAAGGUAGUAUAGAGAGGUCCCACAGAGCCCAUACCCAGUCUCGCAUACAUCAACAUCACCUGUUAGGUAAAUGUGCCACAGUUAAUGAACCAAUAUUAAUUUAUUAUUUCUAACUAAAGCCCAUAGUUUAUUCAGAUUUCUUUAGGUUUUACCUAAUAUCCAUUUAUGUUCCAGGACCCCAUCAAAGAUAGCACGUCACAUUCAGUUUCAAGUAUCCUUAGGUUGUUACCUUUGGCUGUGAUAGUUUGUUAGACUUCCCUUGUUCUUCAUGACCAUAAGAGUUUUGAGGAUUGUUGGUCAAAAAUUUUGUAGACUGCUUCUCAAUUAGAACUUUUCUGGAGUCUCCAUUAUGGCUUAGCAGAAACAAAUGUGACUAGUAUCCAUGAGGAUAGAGGUUCGAUUCCUGGCCUCU
Long non-coding RNA from Sus scrofa (pig), 1397 nucleotides. RefSeq lists it as uncharacterized. NCBI's taxonomy places the organism in Eukaryota, Metazoa, Chordata, Mammalia, Artiodactyla, Suidae. The record is from RefSeq and is a predicted model, not a curated record.